CACAAAGAGGUUUCUCUUGAAGCCUAUAAAACAAGCGAGAAUGAUAUCAGAAACUCAUGGGAAAUCACAAAAUCUGAAGCUUCCUCGAUAUCCCAACAUGAAAACUUACUCAAGCUCCCCUACAUCAGACUUGUCAUCUGAUUCGGUUACCACAUGUGAAAAUUGCAACUGAUGUAAUCAUUGCAAACAUGGGGAUGGCAAAUCCAAGUACCCAACCAAAGGUGUCUUGGAUGUAGGACAUAAGUAUGACACCUAAGAGGCUGCCACUACAAACACCAAAAUACCACCAUUGGAAGAAUAAACUCUUUUUGUUAGAGUUUUUGUCAUCCUUACUAGAGGGUAAUUCUUCAUCAUGAUCCAGUUGGUCAGCUCCAAAGGCUUGCAAAGAUGGGUUAUAUGCACCUUGGCCUAGUGAAAUCAAACACAGAGACCAAAACAGGAAUGCUGGGGAGCUUUUGUUGCUUGGUGGUGACCAUGUCCAUAUCGUUGCUGUUGAUGCCACUGCUCCAAGUCCCUUCAAUUAAAAAAAAAAAAAAAAAACCGAUGUAAAUUACUAUAACAAACGAAAAACUAGCAUGAAUACAGUAUAAAUAUACAGAUAUGUCAACCUUAUAACAUGAAUUACUAAUAUGGAUGCCAUGUCUCUUUCAAGUAGGCCUAAUAUGAUACCAGAUCAUUUUGAGGGAAAA
Molecule: long non-coding RNA, 689 nt
Organism: Gossypium arboreum
Lineage: Eukaryota; Viridiplantae; Streptophyta; Magnoliopsida; Malvales; Malvaceae
Exons: 2
Source: RefSeq, a predicted model, not a curated record